RNAcentral lists this long non-coding RNA (720 nucleotides) under Marmota monax (woodchuck). The record is from RNAcentral. Lineage: Eukaryota; Metazoa; Chordata; Mammalia; Rodentia; Sciuridae.
AAACAUUUCCAGAAGUUCACUUACCCUGUGGAGACUCCUUCAGGUUUCCUCUGCCAACUUUGAGUCACAUGUUUACUAAACUGUCCAGGGGCACAGAAUCAGCAUUAAUUCACUAGAAUAAUGGAGUUCUUUUCUCUGGGGUGGACAGGGGUCCAUCCUCCCUGACAGUACAAGGCUACCUAUUUCUGUUGGCAGGGAAGUGAAGUCACCCAACGGUGUUAGAAGAAUCCGGAACCUGACUUCCGUAUGCCAAUCUUUCUCUGCUCACCCCUGACAUUUCAUGGAUAAGCACAGAGAGAUCAAGAGUUCCAGAGGGCGGAGUUGGGCCUCUGGUGUACUCCUUGGCAUUGAGCAUGGUGCUGGGAAGGUGGUUCAGCUCCAGGGGGCAGUUAAGAUCCACCUGCAGGCAGCCAGCGAAGUGUUGGCACUCUUCAUGCCUGCAGGUGCCAACACCCAUAGGUCCGCCUGCAGCUGCGAAUCCCACCUCCUCAGCCAGUCGGUGGUACAAGAGGCCCAGAGUACAGGACAUUUGUUUCCCAGUAAAAUAUCCAUUCCUUCCCCGGCUCCUGUUUGCACAACAGCACUUGCUGAUUGAUUCAUUAAGUUCUGCUUGCUGCUCUCACUUUGGGAAAUAAACUGACAGCUGAAAUUAUAGCAAGAUUUAAGACAAGGAUGACAGACCCAGACGGGAACGAAUUAGGGGAGACUUAAUGCACCCAC